RNAcentral lists this transfer RNA (65 nucleotides) under Bundoksia longissima. RNAcentral describes it as "tRNA-His". Lineage: Eukaryota; Metazoa; Arthropoda; Insecta; Blattodea; Blattidae. The record is from RNAcentral.
ACUUGAAUAGUUUAAUAUAAAAUAUUGAUUUGUGGUAUCAAUGAUAUAAUUAUUUAUUUUAGGUU